UCUGAGUUCAUCAAGGAAGAGUGAAGCAUUCUGGGAGUCCACUUCCCUACAAGGCGCUCUACAAGACGUCUCAAAGAGACAGCAACCUCUCAAAGAUAAGUAGAAACUUCACGGUGACCCUGGAACUUUACAAUCUCUCGGGGAGUCCCCUAAAGACACAGGUCCACUGGAUUUGCCCUGUUGGAACCCACUCUGGAGUAGUCUGGAGAACACAGACUAUAAAUGCCCAAGAGACCAGCCUUGCUCACUGGAAACUGCUCACCACCUGCCCAACUGUAUGACAGACAGAAGCCGGUUUGAAAAGAAACUCACAAUUGCCAGCGUGCCCCUUGUGUGAAUCCCACGGCUGGAAGUUUUUCUGUAAAUCGGCAUCUUCAGGUCUGAGUAAGCCUUCAUGCCAGCAUCAGACACUGU
This is a long non-coding RNA of Equus caballus (horse), 414 nucleotides long. The record is from Ensembl. Lineage: Eukaryota; Metazoa; Chordata; Mammalia; Perissodactyla; Equidae.